GCCAUGCUACAUAGGGCCAUG
Molecule: microRNA, 21 nt
Filed under: Panagrellus redivivus
Lineage: Eukaryota; Metazoa; Nematoda; Chromadorea; Rhabditida; Panagrolaimidae
Description: prd-miR-72-3p
Gene: prd-miR-72-3p
Source: miRBase by way of RNAcentral